Molecule: ribosomal RNA, 253 nt
Filed under: uncultured bacterium
Lineage: Bacteria
Description: partial 16S ribosomal RNA
Rfam family: Bacterial small subunit ribosomal RNA
Source: RNAcentral
UACGUAGGUGACCAGCGUUGUCCGGAUUUACUGGGCGUAAAGAGCGCGCAGGCGGUCGUUCAAGUCGAGUGUGAAAGCCCCCGGCUCAACUGGGGAGGGUCAUUCGAUACUGAUCGACUCGAAGGCAGGAGAGGGAAGUGGAAUUCCCGGUGUAGUGGUGAAAUGCGUAGAUAUCGGGAGGAACACCAGUGGCGAAGGCGACUUCCUGGCCUGUUCUUGACGCUGAGGCACGAAAGCGUGGGGAGCAAACAGG